CCUACGGGUGGCAGCAGUGAGGAAUAUUGGUCAAUGGGCGCGAGCCUGAACCAGCCAAGUCGCGUGAGGGAAGACGGUCCUAUGGGUUGUAAACCUCUUUUGUCGGGGAGCAAAAGACGCCCCGCGUCGCGUUCCGAGAGUACCCGAAGAAAAAGCAUCGGCUAACUCCGUGCCAGCAGCCGCGGUAAUACGGAGGAUGCGAGCGUUAUCCGGAUUUAUUGGGUUUAACGGGGGCGCAGUGGGAAGAGCAAGUCAGAGGUAAAAUUGAGGGGCUCAACCUCUUCGAGCCGUUGAAACUGGGUAUCUUGAGUGAGCGAGAAGUAUGCGGAAUGCGUGGUGUAGCGGUGAAAUGCAUAGAUAUCACGCAGAACGCCGAUUGCGAAGGCAGCAUACCGGUGCGCAACUGACGCUCAGGCACGAAAGUGUGGGUAUCGAACAGGAUUAGAUACCCCGGUAGUC
Molecule: ribosomal RNA, 459 nt
Filed under: uncultured bacterium
Lineage: Bacteria
Description: partial 16S ribosomal RNA
Rfam family: Bacterial small subunit ribosomal RNA
Source: RNAcentral